GUGGAUUAGAUACCCUAGUAGUCCACGCCCUAAACGAUGUCAACUGGUUGUUGGGGGAUUUAUUCUCUUAGUAACGAAGCUAACGCGUGAAGUUGACCGCCUGGGGAGUACGGUCGCAAGAUUAAAACUCAAAGGAAUUGACGGGGGCCCGCACAAGCGGUGGAUGAUGUGGAUUAAUUCGAUGCAACGCGAAAAACCUUACCUACGCUUGACAUGUCCGAGAUCCCGAAGAGAUUUGGGAGUGCUCGAAAGAGAAUCGGAACACAGGUGCUGCACGGCCGUCGUCAACU
RNAcentral lists this ribosomal RNA (290 nucleotides) under uncultured bacterium. RNAcentral describes it as "partial 16S ribosomal RNA". It matches the Rfam family "Bacterial small subunit ribosomal RNA", at positions 773 to 1060 of the family's 1533-position model. The record is from RNAcentral.